Molecule: RNA transcript, 6965 nt
Organism: Phacochoerus africanus (Common warthog)
Lineage: Eukaryota; Metazoa; Chordata; Mammalia; Artiodactyla; Suidae
Gene: TNFRSF8
Gene name: TNF receptor superfamily member 8
Exons: 16
Source: RefSeq, a predicted model, not a curated record
CCUGAGUCAUCUCUGCACGUGUUCGCUCCCUUUUGGUCUUGACCGCUAGUAGCUGCGUUCCUGGAAGCAGUCUGGGGUACCUAGUGCGCCUCGGGUGGUGGUGGAAGGGAAGGGUUAAGGCUGAACCUUCGGAGCAGGAGCGUCCACUUUUGAAGUGACUUCACAGCGCGCAGUUGGGCGCCCGCGAGGUGCGCGGGCCCAGGCCUGGCGGCGCGGUGGGUCUUCCCACGCUUGCCGGCUCCCGCCGCUGGCCCCGCACGUGGGCGCAGCGCCCUUCCCAGGCUGCGCAGGUGGGCGCGGUUGGGGAGCCCGCCCCCCCCUCCUCCCCGCCCCUGCCCCGGGAUGUGCGCCCUCCGUUUGGUGCUGGGACUGUUGCUCCUGGGGGCGCUCGGAGCCUUCCCGCAGGGUCAAGCCCCCAUGGAUCCCUGUCCUGGGGACCCCAGCCGCUACUAUGACAAGGCUGCCGGGGUGUGCUGCCGCCGCUGUGCCCUGGAGCCUUCCCUGUGCCCUCAGGGGCCCACUGACUGCAGGAAGCAGUGUGAUCGUGGCUACUACGUGGACACCAACGGCCGCUGCACAGCCUGUGUGACCUGUUCUGAAGACUACCUCGUGGAGAAGAAGCCGUGCUCGUGGAACUCCUCUGGCGUGUGCGAAUGCCGGGCUGGCAUGUUUUGCGGGACGUCAGCCGUCAACUCCUGUGCCCGCUGCUUGCCCCACUCCGUCUGCCCCCCCGGGAAGGUUGUCAAGUUCCAGGGCACAGCACAGAGGGACACUGUCUGUGAGCUGCCUCCCCCAGGGGCCAGCCCCGACUGCAGCACCAACCCACAGGACUGCAAGGCCCCCGCCAGGAGAAUUGCCAGUCCCAUCCCUGGCUUCCUUCCCAGCGGCACCACCCCCCAGGCCAAGCCGGCCCUUGCAUCCCCAGCGAGCUCCGAGGCCAGGACCACGCUUCUCAGAGGCACCACCCCCUUCGCUGGGGAAGAUGCUCCUAAAUCACCUCCCAGCUCUUCCUCCUCCGUGGGGAAGCUCAAUCCAGAUCCACGGCUGACUCUACGGCAGCCCUGCCCUCAGGGGUCUGCUGACUGCCAGAAGCAGUGUGGCCGCAACUUCUACCUGGACAGGGACGGACGCUGCAAGGCCUGUGUGAGGUGUUUAAGAGGUGACCUCGUGGAGAAAACACCAUGCACGUGGAACUCCUCCAGCGUCUGCGAGUGUCGGCCUGGCCUGUUCUGUGCCACGUCAGCCAUCAACUCCUGUGCCCACUGCGUCCCCCGCCCCAUCUGCCCGCCAAGGAUGGCCACCAAACUCCAGGGUACCGCCGAGAGGGACACCACCGACGAGCCACCUCCCCCGGGGACCCACCCUGACUGCAGCACCAACCCAGAGGACAUCGGGGCGCCUGCCAGCCCUACCCCCUCCCUGAUCUCCUUAGCUGGCAAGAAGAGUGGAGGGGGCAUCACCCACGCCUGGGGGGACGCCUCCAUCUCAACCAGUGCUCCCAUCUCUUUCUCCUCCACUGGGAAGCCCACUCUGGUUCCAGGACCUGUGCUCCUCUGGGUGGUCUUGAUGCUGGUGGUGGCCGUCAGCUCUGGCUCCUUCCUCCUGUGCCACCGGAGGGCCUGCGGGAAGUGGAUUCGGCAGAAGAUCCACCUCUGCUACCCAGCCCAGACCUUCCGGCCCAAGCUGGAGCCUGUGGAUUCCAGGCCUGGGAAGACUCUGACCCAGGUGACCAGGAGCAUAUCCGUGGCAGAGCCGGGCACAGAGGAGCUGGGCUUAAUGAGCCCCCCGGCUGUGAAGACCUGGCCCAGCAAUGGGGGAGCCUGCCUGGAGAGCCUGCGGCUGCUGGAGGCCAGCCCGGCCAGCACCCCCCCGACCCCCACUGACCUUCCUGAGCUCCGAGGGACCACGGAGCACACCAACAACAGGAUUGAGCACAUUUACAUCAUGAAGGCCGACACCGUGAUUGUGGGGUCCGUGAAGGCCGAGGUGCCUGAGGGCCAGGGCCUGGCGGGGCCGGCGGGGCCCGAGUUCGAGGAGGCUCUGGAGGUGGACCACGCCCCCCACUACCCGGAGCAGGAGACGGAGCCGCCUCUGGGCAGCUGCAGGGACGUCAUGUUCUCGGUGGAGGAAGAAGGCAAGGAGGAUUCCUUGCCCACGACCGACUCUGGGAAAUGAGGCCUGGCCCAGGCUGGGGCGCAGAGGGCCGCUGGGAGCCUUGGGGAGGCAAGGGUGGCGCUGGUGGCACCAGGCUGGUGGCAGAGGUCUGUCUGGCCUGAACUGAGGUUCCUGCAUCUGGUGGAUCCAGCCUGUCAGUGCAGGAGGUUCUCGUGGUCCGUACUUGCCUCCUUGGGGAGCCUGGGCCUGUGCAGCAGAGACAGCUAAGGGGCAACAGAUGGCGGGCAGGGCCUGGGCACCCUGCCUCCUGCCACUGCCAAGAUGCUCCAGAGCCCUGGGUGUCAGACACACACAGUAGAGCAGAGGCAGCGGCCAUGAAGCUCCUACCUCCAUGCCCUCUCCUGUCACCCCGGCCUCGGGAGCAAUGCCCACCGAGCCUCGCUGCCAUGCCAGCUGCCCCCAGUUCUUGUGACGUGGCCCCUGCGGGCACUGAGCCAGCCCCUGUGGUUGUUCUCCUGAGUCAAAAAGAAAGUCAAGAGAUGGUUGUCGUCCUUUCCCCCUUCUUGGCUGCAGCCACAACACAGUACUCUGAGCCCACGGGAGCCCCCCAGCCUGGCCAGCCCUGCCUGGGCUGCUGGGACCACCCCCCCCACACACACUCCACGGUGGGCCCAGGGCCUUGGAUCCCUGACCCUGCAGCAGGAGGAGGUGUCUCAGGACCCAGGUAUCAGCAGACUCUCAGCAUCAGAGCUCCUCCCGCCGGAGACCCCGCCCACCCAGUGCUACCCAGAAAGGCCUGCCUGGCUUCAACUGAGGCUUCCUCCCUGCACGGACCAGGGGAACCGUGGGCCCUUCUUGGGUCCUUGACUGCUUCGUAGGCACCAUGGGCUCCAUCCUGGGCAACGAAGAAGAUGCCUCUUCCCCAGAUCGGCCACGUGCACAGGCCCCAGUGGCUCCAGCCGCUAAGCACCCCCAAUUGGGAUGUGGGUUUCAAAAAAAAUGGUGUCAUGUCACCCAGACAUUCUGUUGGAAAAGAAAGAGCAUUUAGUAGUUCAAUCUGGACUUGAGGAUUUUUGCAUUCCACACCAAGGAGUCAAGCCCCCUGACGUGGAUCUGCUUCCUCAUCUCCCCAGGGCUUCCAGACUCAGGUCCGCUAACAAGUGGUCUUGGAAAGUCUGUGGCCCCGGGGCACUGAGUCGCUGCUGGAAUUACCCGCUGGAAGCCAAGCCCGAGAAAGCUGCUGUUUACCCACCAGCCUGCUCACUCGCUGGAGGAAGUUGAGGCUGGGUCAGGAAUCACAAGGGUAGUUUCUGAAACCACUCAGAUGUUUUGGGGAAAGUUGGAGAGAGGCUGGACGCCAAGAGAGAUGGUUUACACAGAACCUGAAGUUUAUGUGCCACGGAUAAUAUUUGCCAAAAUGCCCUGGGCGAGGGCAGUUCAGAGGCUCUGCUCCUUCCUGCCACCCCCGAGCCCCUGUGAAGGGCUCUGCAGCCGUAACUUGAGGAUGUUGGCAUGUGGUUAAUGGAUUGAAGGGUUCCCUCACCCAAGGGCCCUUCACAAAACUUUGAUCCUUUAAAAAUUCAUAAAGUCCCUUAAAAACCAAUCAUAAGAGAGUUCCCACUGCGGCUCUGCAGGUUAAGGAUGCGAUGUUGUCUCCGUGAAGAUGUGAUUUUGAUUCCUGGCCUCCCUCAGUGGGUUCUGGAUCUGGCAUUGCUGUGGCUAUGGUGUAGGCCAGCAGCUGCAGCUCCAGUUGGACCCCUAGCCCCCAAAUAGUUUCCACAUGCCUCAGAUGCGGUUGUAAAAGAAAAAAAAGAAGAAGAAGAAAAAAACAAAAAACCAAUUGUAAGGCUCCAGGAUAUUCUCCUGCCAGAGACUGGGAGUAUUUGGAGUGUCAGUAGGUAUCUGAAAAGUCGUUCUCCCUCCAGGACGGAGUCCCCCCUUUACCUCUCUGCUCCAGAUACCUGGGCCACCAGCCUCUGGGUCAGGGAGCCCCCCACAUGCUGGGACAGCCUUUCCUCCUAGAGGCCCCUCCCUGGGGAUGGAGGCAGAGCCUUCCUCUCUGUGACUCCCACUCCCUGUUGGGUCCUUGGCAGAGGUGUAGAGCAACAGGCUUUUGCCCUAAGGCUCCCUUUGCGGAUGGCCAGGCGGGAUCCCUGGUCCCCUCCAGGCCUUCUUCCCGCUGAGCUGGGCCCAGUAGUCCCACAGCUUGGGGAAAGGGAGUCCCAAAGUAGCGGUGUGAAUGCCCCAGCCUUGGCGGGGGGAGAGCCCAGAGAGGACCAGGGAUAAAUGUGACCCUUGGGCUUUGAGCCAGAGCUGGCAGGGGCCCAGCUGCCUCCCUGAUCACAGCUCAGGGGCGUUGUGGGGCCUGUUCCCCUCCACAGGCAGCCCCCUCUGACUGUGGCUCCCCCUGGGGAAUGGAGGAAGGCGGCCUCCCUCCGCCUCUCCCUCAGGACUCCGGCGGGGCCUGGAUCUCACAGUUCAGCCCGGCUGGUCACGUGGUCCAUCCAAGUGCCAGGGUGAAGCUCCCUCCCCUGCCCAGUCAUGAGGGGCCCCUCCUUAGCCCCUGGCUGUUUUGAUGUCCAGAUGGGCAGACGGACGUGGCCCCUGCUGCCCCGGAGUAGCAGUUCCCAGGCUGCAAGGAACCCGCCCACACGUGCACACACGUCUCCCUCAACAGUAAGUGACAGUAAGUGAUUAGUGUCUUGCGGAAGCUGUUGCGCUCAAAGAGAGUCCGCUGUUUCCCAAGGCAGCCUUGUAUGUCAUAAGCUAUGCUGGCUUCUUAGAAUCUCUCAGGCCAGGGCUGGUCCUUAGGACAAGAGCCUGACUGUGCAUAGCAUCCUUUGCUGUGUCCUGCUUACCCUGGCCAUGAGAACCUGCGAUGGUGCCUCCAGCAUCUCUGUCCCACCAUCACCGGGACCUGCUUUGUGGGGCUGAACAGAAGAGAGAAUCUGUGCGGAGAGGAGAGGCAGCUCUCUGGCCGCCCUUUCUUGGGUGCCUUCUCUUCUCCAGCGCCUCCUUGAUCCUCCUGCCCUCUCACGUGGAACUGUGGAAUCGUGGGGCAAGUGCAGGGUGGGAGGUGCUGGGGCCAGGAUGGGUGAGAAGAGGGAUUCACAGGCGGGGCCCGAGAAAAACGCUUUACUGUGUCAGUACCCCUGACUGGAAGCCAAGGGGAGAAUAUCAAAAGCUUCAAGGACAGCUCCUUGGGCCUGGGGAGAAGCCGGCCCAGCACCCCCUCAAGCUCCUGCACCCUCCCCGGGACCACAUAAUUGGGUCAGUGAACAAACUCAUUCCUGGGUCGGCUCGUGCCCUGUGCUACCAGAAGGCUCAAUCCGGGGUCCGUGAUAGAGUCCAGAGGGCAGGGCCACGUCUAGCCAGGUAGUCAGGGAGGGCUUCUCGGAGGAGGUGGCCUUCGAAAGCUCCACCUGAGCCACAUGACAAGUGGGCCUGCAAGCCUCCUGAGAAGGCAGGGGGGCGGUAAUGCAAAGGCCCUAAGGUGGGGACCCUCCUGCCCAGAGGUUCGGGAAGCUCACCUCCAGGUGGGGGCACAGCGAUCAAUCGGGGUGGGGAGGAGGCGGAGGGCUCGGCGGGGCCAUUGUGUAGCGCUUCGAUCUUAUCAUCAAUAUCCUGAGACCAUGUCUACAUUUAUUUCUAUUUUCCUCCUCUCAGAACAAUAAACAUCCUGGUAUUAUCUCUGCAGUGUGUGUGAAAAGCAACGCCGGGAAGGAAAGGUUGUUCAGUUCUUCAGAGGGAAGCUGGGGAGAGGCAGCGCUCGCUGGUGGCCAGGAAGCAAUUGGAUGUGUUUUCUCAGAAAGGGCAGAGAACACGACUCCACACGCUCCUGUUUACCAUCGCAGCCCUGGGCCCCUGAUGCCACUGCAGCGGUCCUCUAGCGCCUGCCUCGGUUCCAUGUCAUCUUCCCUGGCGUCUGGAGAUGGGCCCUUCUGGGUGCAACCUCCAGCCCAAAGCACUUCCCCGCUACGUGGCCUCAAGCGAAGCCCUCAGGUGCUUUCAGCCUUGGUUUUUGAAUCUGCAAAACGGACAUCAUAAUUUUCUUCCGAGAUGCUUGGGAGGCUCAGCAGGGAGGCAGGUAAAGGGCUUGGCCUGAUGCUGGACGGAUCUCCUAUUCAGGAAAGAACAUUCAUGGGAUGCAAUGUUGCAUGGACUUUAGCGAUUGCCCAAGCCUGUCUGCAGUCUUUGGGCUUCACGAUAAUCACUAAAUGUAAAGAGGCUGAGGAUCAGUCAGCACUGCCUUUAUGACUUGUGGCUCAGAAAGGUAAAGCAACCCGCCCACUGUCACACAGCCAGGAAGAGCCAGAACUAGAGUUCAACCCCCCAACGCUGACUCAGAAGCCCCGACCCCCACCCCCUGCCCUCACAGCCGGGCUGCCUCUGUGGUUGGGGCCGUGUUUACAUCGCAGCUAUCUGUUAUCAUGUGGCAUCAGGCCCUUUGGACCAGCUUCCUUUAGGCAGGGGGUCAAUUUUAUGCCUCUUUUAUGGGGAGGCAGUGUCAGUAGCGAGAAGCUGGAUAAGCCUGUCUGAGAUCAAGGGGUAUUUCUGGUUCCUCUGACCAGAGAGAGGGGACAGAGCUGACCCAAUGAGAGCCUUGUUCCCUGAAGCUGCUUUCCUUAAAAGCGAUCUGAUCCUGAGGUCAGGAUUGACGCAGGGCUUGCGGGGGCAGUCAGGACAGAGAGCCCAUCCUGGAGAGCUGUACACUUGGACUCUUCCCCACUUUCAGUAACCCCGUGUAUUUGGCUCUCUGCCCCAUCCUAGGAUCCCGGGAAUGAAGAUGGACGGGUCAAGAACAGGCCUCCCUGAAGCUCCCGUCAUGACUCAGUGGUUAACGAACCCAA